CCUACGGGUGACAGCAGUGGGGAAUAUUGCACAAUGGGGGGAACCCUGAUGCAGCGACGCCGCGUGAGUGAAGAAGUAUUUCGGUAUGUAAAGCUCUAUCAGCAGGGAAGAAAAUGACGGUACCUGACUAAGAAGCCCCGGCUAACUACGUGCCAGCAGCCGCGGUAAUACGUCGGGGGCAAGCGUUAUCCGGAUUUACUGGGUUGAAAGGGGGCGUAGACGGUUAUGCAAGUCUGAAGUGAAAACCCAAGGCUCAACCAUGGAACUGCUUUUGAAACUGGCAAACUAGAGUACGGGAGAGGUAAGAGGAAUUCCUAGUGUAGCGGUGAAAUGCGUAGAUAUUAGGCGGAACACCAGUGGCGAAGGCGUCUUACUGGACCGAAACUGACGUUGAGGCUCGAAAGCGUGGGGAGCAAACAGGAUUAGAUACCCGAGUAGUC
This 440-nucleotide ribosomal RNA is filed under the name uncultured bacterium. RNAcentral's name for it is "partial 16S ribosomal RNA". It matches the Rfam family "Bacterial small subunit ribosomal RNA", at positions 338 to 795 of the family's 1533-position model. The record is from RNAcentral.